Molecule: ribosomal RNA, 497 nt
Filed under: uncultured bacterium
Lineage: Bacteria
Description: partial 16S ribosomal RNA
Rfam family: Bacterial small subunit ribosomal RNA
Source: RNAcentral
GAUGAACGCUGGCGGCGUGCCUAAUACAUGCCAGUCGAGCGAACGGACGAGAAGCUUGCUUCUCUGAUGUUAGCGGCGGACGGGUGAGUAAUACGUGGAUAACCUACCUAUAAGACUGGGAUAACUUCGGGAAACCGGAGCUAAUACAGGAUAAUAUUUUGAACAGCAUGAUUCAAAAGUGAAAGACGGUCUUGCUGUCACUUAUAGAUGUAUCCGCGCUGCAUUAGCUAGUUGGUAAGGUAACGGCUUACCAAGGCAACGAUGCAUAGCCGACCUGAGAGGGUGAUCGGCCACACUGGAACUGAGACACGGUCCAGACUCCUACGGGAGGCAGCAGUAGGGAAUCUUCCGCAAUGGGCGAAAGCCUGACGGAGCAACGCCGCGUGAGUGAUGAAGGUCUUCGGAUCGUAAAACUCUGUUAUUAGGGAAGAACAUAUGUAUAAGUAACUGUGCACAUCUUGACGUUACCUAAUCAGAAAGCCACGGCUAACUACGUG